This 214-nucleotide long non-coding RNA is filed under the name Homo sapiens (human). RNAcentral describes it as "non-protein coding lnc-FPGT-6:1". The record is from RNAcentral. Lineage: Eukaryota; Metazoa; Chordata; Mammalia; Primates; Hominidae.
GGAAAUCUCAGAUGGUUGUCUACAGUUACAAGGGGGAUUUUUGGACUGAUUUGUGAUUUUUCUGGGAAUGCAACUCAAGUUAGAAGAGGCCAUUAUCUGAAAGAAGAAGAAGCACCAGCUGAUGUGUUGGUUAUUUUAGGGCGACAUUUGCAGUUGCUUGGGCAAUAUCAUGAGCCUCACCUCAUGCAGGUCUGGGUCCCAGACCCAAAGACUG